Molecule: ribosomal RNA, 903 nt
Filed under: uncultured Planctomycetaceae bacterium
Lineage: Bacteria; Pseudomonadati; Planctomycetota; Planctomycetia; Planctomycetales; Planctomycetaceae
Description: bacterial SSU rRNA
Rfam family: Bacterial small subunit ribosomal RNA
Source: RNAcentral
CAAGUCGGGGGAAUCCCAGCAAUGGGGGAACCGGCGUAAGGGGCAGUAAUGUGUGGGUACCUACCGCGGGGUUCGGGAUAGCCAUCAGAGAUGGUGGGUAAUACCGGAUGACGUCGUGAGACCAAAGAUUUAUCGCCCUGUGAGGGGCCCACAUGAUAUUAGCUAGUUGGUGAGGUAACGGCUCACCAAGGCGAAGAUGUCUAGCGGGUGUGAGAGCACGACCCGCGCCACUCGCACUGAGACACUGGCGAGACACCUACGGGUGGCUGCAGUCGAGGAUCUUCGGCAAUGAGCGCAAGCUUGACCGAGCGACGCCGCGUGAGCGAUGAAGGCCUUCGGGUUGUAAAGCUCUUUAGGGGGGGAGAAAAGCCAGCAAUGGUGUGAUCUAUCCCCAAAAUAAGCACGGGCUAAGUUCGUGCCAGCAGCCGCGGUAAGACGAACCGUGCGAACGUUGUUCGGAAUCACUGGGCUUAAAGGGCGCGUAGGCGGGCUGUCCAGUCUGGGGUGAAAUCCCGCGGCUCAACCGUGGAACUGCCUUAGAUACUGACGGCCUCGAGGGAGAUAGGGGCAUGCGGAACUGUAGGUGGAGCGGUGAAAUGCGUUGAUAUCUACAGGAACUCCGGUGGCGAAGGCGGCGUGCUGGAUCUCUUCUGACGCUGAGGCGCGAAAGCUAGGGGAGCAAACGGGAUUAGAUACCCCGGUAGUCCUAGCCCUAAACGAUGGGUACUAGAUAGUAGGCUAGAUAUGGGCUUACUGUCGAAGCUAAAGUGCUAAGUACCCCGCCUGGGGAGUAUGGUCGCAAGGCUGAAACUCAAAGGAAUUGACGGGGGCUCACACAAGCGGUGGAGCAUGUGGCUUAAUUCGAGGCUACGCGAAGAACCUUAUCCCGGACUUGACAUGUGC